GACGAACGCUGGCGGCGUGCUUAACACAUGCAAGUCGAACGGAAAGGCCCUGCUUUUGUGGGGUGCUCGAGUGGCGAACGGGUGAGUAACACGUGAGUAACCUGCCCUUGACUUUGGGAUAACUUCAGGAAACUGGGGCUAAUACCGGAUAGGAGCUCCUGAUGCAUGGUGGGGGUUGGAAAGUUUCGGCGGUUGGGGAUGGACUCGCGGCUUAUCAGCUUGUUGGUGGGGUAGUGGCUUACCAAGGCUUUGACGGGUAGCCGGCCUGAGAGGGUGACCGGCCACAUUGGGACUGAGAUACGGCGCAGACUCCUACGGGAGGCAGCAGUGGAGAAUAUUACGCAAUGGGCGGAAGCCUGAGGCAGCAACGCCGCGUGCGGGAUGACGGCCUUCGGGUUGUAAACCGCUUUCGCCUGUGACGAGGCGUGAGUGACGGUAAUGGGUAAAGAAGCACCGGCUAACUACGUG
Molecule: ribosomal RNA, 468 nt
Filed under: uncultured bacterium
Lineage: Bacteria
Description: partial 16S ribosomal RNA
Rfam family: Bacterial small subunit ribosomal RNA
Source: RNAcentral